Molecule: transfer RNA, 72 nt
Filed under: Heterocephalus glaber (naked mole-rat)
Lineage: Eukaryota; Metazoa; Chordata; Mammalia; Rodentia; Bathyergidae
Rfam family: tRNA
About the family: Transfer RNA (tRNA) molecules are approximately 80 nucleotides in length. Their secondary structure includes four short double-helical elements and three loops (D, anti-codon, and T loops).
Source: Rfam by way of RNAcentral
AGGGAUGUAGCUCAGCGGUAGAGCACUUGCCUAGCAUGUACAAGGCCCUGGGUUCCAUUCCCAGCAUUUUGU